UCAGGCUGGCCAGAGGGUUUUUAUGGGUGAGGGGAUAUGGGGAGGCUACGUGCAGUGGUUGGGAUCAAGAGGUGACCGAGGACCACAAACAUUUGGGUGCCAGUGAGGGGUCGAGGAGGUUGGGAACUUUUCUGUCCUUGGUUAGGUCACAAUGCUUCUGUAAAUCUCCAACAAAACAGACUUAGUUGUUUACAAACUUCCCCUUUGAUAUGGUUUGGCUGUGUCCCCACCCAAAUCUCAUCUUGAAUACUAGUUCCCAUAAUCCCCACGUGUGGUGGGAGGGGCUUGGUGGGAGGUAACUGAAUCAUGGGGGUGGUUUCCACAUGCUGUUCUUGUGACAGUGAGUGAGUUCUCAUGAGAUCUGAAGGUUUUAUAAGGGGCUGUUCCCGCUUUUGCUCAGCCCUUCUCCUUCCUGCCAUCAUGUGAGGAAGGACGUGUUUGCUUCCCCUUCUGCAGUGAUUGUAAGUCUCCUGAGGCCUCCCCAGCCAUGCAGAACUGUGAGUCAUUUAAACUUCUUUCCUUUGUAAAUUACCCAGUCUCGGGCAGUUCUUUAUACUAAUGUGAGAACGGACUAAUACACCCUUUACUCCCAGAGUUAGUUUCAAAAACUACAUGAUUGCUGUUUCGCAUUUCAUCCCAGUUCUCUAAAAUUAUCCUAGCCUACGUGCAGGAAGGGGUAAAAGCCCCUUAAAGAAAAAUGAAGUGAGUGACGUUAGUUUCUUGCUGUUUCACUGUUACACAAUGAUACGAGGUAUGAAAGGGAGGAAUGAGGAUGGUUUUGUUAUGUUAAGGUGCUCACACUACCUGUGAAGUGUUACAGUGUUAUUUGAAAGAGACACAGAGAGAAGAUGCCAUCCACAUGCCAAGGAGGGAGACCUGGAGCAGCUCCUCCCUCACAGCCCUCAAGAGGAACCUGCCCUGCAGACACCUUGAUUUCCGACGUGGCCUCCAGCCCUGGGUUUAUUUGUGAGCGUGGACUCCGUUUUGAUUCUGACAACUGCUGAUGAGGAAACUGAAACUGAGGGGGGUUAAGACCUCUGCCCCAAAUCACCCAGGUGGUAAGUGAAAGAGCUAAGACUCUAUCUCAGCUGCUCUAGCACUGGAGCUUUAGGCCAGAGCCCUUUUUUCCAUGACUUGAUUCUAACUCCCAGAAGGACAAAGAGAUGGG
This 1168-nucleotide long non-coding RNA is filed under the name Homo sapiens (human). RNAcentral describes it as "HSALNT0245669". Lineage: Eukaryota; Metazoa; Chordata; Mammalia; Primates; Hominidae. The record is from RNAcentral.